UACGGAGGGUGCAAGCGUUAUCCGGAUUCACUGGGUUUAAAGGGUGCGUAGGUGGGUCUGUAAGUCAGUGGUGAAAUCUCCGAGCUUAACUCGGAAACUGCCAUUGAUACUAUAAAUCUUGAAUUAUCUGGAGGUAAGCGGAAUAUGUCAUGUAGCGGUGAAAUGCUUAGAUAUGACAUAGAACACCAAUUGCGAAGGCAGCUUACUACGGAUCGAUUGACACUGAGGCACGAAAGCGUGGGGAUCAAACAGG
RNAcentral lists this ribosomal RNA (253 nucleotides) under uncultured bacterium. Its description in RNAcentral is "partial 16S ribosomal RNA". It matches the Rfam family "Bacterial small subunit ribosomal RNA", at positions 524 to 776 of the family's 1533-position model. The record is from RNAcentral.